This is an RNA transcript of Salvia hispanica, 2237 nucleotides long. It is a transcript of the gene named zinc finger CCCH domain-containing protein 22-like, with no coding region annotated. The record is from RefSeq and is a predicted model, not a curated record. Lineage: Eukaryota; Viridiplantae; Streptophyta; Magnoliopsida; Lamiales; Lamiaceae.
AAUCAAAAACAAAAACAAAACAUAAACAAACCCCCUCUCUUUCUCCAUGGAUUAUCAAUAGUGUCCUUUAUAAAACCCUACCCCUUCCUCUCCCCCCCAUUUCUCUCUCCCCCAUUUCUUCUUGGAGAGGAAGAAAAAGCUAAAAAGCUUCAAACUUUGAGAGCAAAAUGGACACAUACGAAGCUACUCAAGUAGUGAUGUCAAGGAUCCAAAGCAUGGAUCCGGAAAACGCCUCCAAAAUCAUGGGCUCCAUUCUGAUUCAGGAUCAAGGCGACAAGGAGAUGAUACGCUUAGCAUUCGUCCCUGAUUCCAUCCUCCUCUCCUACAUCAACCAAGCCAAGUCCCGUCUCUCCUCUUCCCCAAAGCCCUUCUCCUCCUCCCCAAGAAUCUUGAUUCCCAACAACAAUUUCCACCACCACCACCACUUCACCAACCCAAGCAGCAGCCCCACCCCUUCCCUCAGCCCGAGGCCCUUCUCCUACGCCGCCGCUCUCAACGCCCCCACCACUCCCUCCGCCCAAAGUUUCAAUUUUUACGGCGGCGACGACUCCUCCGUGGAUCCAGCGAUGAGCCCAAGUGGCCGGAGUGACUCCCUCGUCUUCCCAUAUGGCGCGGAGGAGCCAAGCCCCCACCACCCCUUCCACCGCCGGAGCAGCUCGGUGAACGACGCUGCGUUUCUUGCUAACAUGGAUGACUGCGGCGGCGGCGGCGGGUGGCGCCCCUGCAUGUACUUUGCCAGGGGCUUCUGCAAGAAUGGGAGCUCUUGCAAGUUCCUUCACGGCGGAGAAGAGGCGGCGGCGGAGGUGGGGUCUCCGGGAAAGGGGUUUGAUGAGUUGAUGAGGAUGAAGGCGAUUCAGCAGCAGAGGCUUGCGCUCAUGGCGUCGUCUCCUCGCGGCCAUUUUUCUGCUUACAAUAAAUGCAUCGACUUUCUCAAUGAGAAUCCGAGGAAUGAGUUUUUACCUAUGGGAUUGGGGGCUGCUGCUUUGAGUUCGAGCUCUCGGCAAAUUUACUUGACAUUUCCAGCAGAUAGUACUUUCAAGGAGGAAGAUGUCUCUAGCUAUUUUAGUAUGUUUGGACCUGUUCAAGAUGUUAGGAUUCCGUUUCAGCAGAAGCGGAUGUUUGGCUUUGUGACGUUUGUGUAUCCGGAAACGGUCAAGCUCAUCUUGGCAAAAGGGAAUCCUCACUUUGUCUGUGAUUCUCGCGUGCUUGUCAAGCCUUACAAGGAGAAGGGGAAAGUCGCUGAAAAGAAACAACAACACCACUUGGAUUUGGGCAUGGAGUCUAGUGAGAACAUUGAGCUCCCCUUUGGAUCUAGAAUGUUGUUCAAUACACCGGAGAUGAUGCUGAGGAGAAAACUGGAGCAGGAGGCCGAAUUACAGCAUGCGAUCGAGCUUCAAGAAAGAAGGAUCAUGAAUUUGCAACUGAUGGACCUGAAAAACCAUCAGCAUAAUCAUCACCUCUUGCAAGGUUUUAGAGCCGGAAUUCCAAUGUCCUCGCCUCGCCAGUCUCAGUUUCUGAUGAAUCAAAACUUCAUCCCUGAUGGCUCGAAUCAAGAAAACACGGAAGAGUUUGAUGGUCCAGCUAAAUCUACUAACUUGGUGCCGGAAGGAACUAAAUUCUGUAACAACAUUGUUGUUGGCAACGACAACGGCGAUGAUUCUAAUACCCCUCACAGCUUUGAUCACAUGCUUCCCGAUAACCUUUUUGCUUCUCCAACAAAAGUAGCCGGUGAGCACCGUUCUCUUUUCUCUGAAGCUUCGGCCUCUGCUGAUGAUAGUAUACCUGUAACAAUGACCUCCUCCAAGAACACUACCAGCCUCGUGCUUCCCGCCCUGGCUUCUCUCAAAUCGUGUAGCGUCGAAAUACCAAGGUUUUCUGCUGGGCAAGAAGCCAUUGAAAUGUAGGUUUGUUAGAGUUGGAAUGGAUAGCAACAACCAAGAAUUAACUUAUGUAGAAAGAUUGAAUAUAGCUAAAGCAAAACAAUACCCCUCCAUCAACAAAAUACAUAAUGGCACUACUAUUACUACUACUACUAAAGUGCUGAUUGAAUGGGAGUAGGGCUCUUUUCUCUGACUACCCCACAUUUUGUACCCUCUCUUCAUGUGUAAAGGGACCACCACAUUAUUUAACAAAAGCAUAUAACAAACAAAAGGUACCAGUGAUGAUACUAUAUAAUAGCAUAUUUACAAAAUCCUGUGUUUACUUUUGCAAUGUGAAAAUCAUUUGGUGUGUGAUUA